AUACGAUCAUGUCUGCGAAACCGGGAUGCCACUUCCCACCUGGCCUCUCCCUGACCCCAGCUUGUUCCCUUGGAGGGCCGGUGGACUCCUCAGCCUCGCAGCAAUGAAAUCAGGCCUUGAGGCCACCCCACCCGUGACCUGCGGCUGUUCCUGGUCAUUGAGUACGUCAACGGCGGGGACCUGAUGUUCCACAUGCAGAGGCAGAGGAAGCUCCCUGAGGAGCACGCCAGAGACGGAGUUUCGCCAUGUUGCCCAGGCUGGUCUUGAAUUCCUGACCUCAGGUGAUCUGCCUGCCUCGACCUCCCGAAGUGCUGGGAUUACAGGUUCUACGCGGCCGAGAUCUGCAUCGCCCUCAACUUCCUGCACGAGAGGGGGAUCAUCUACAGGGACCUGAAGCUGGACAACGUCCUCCUGGAUGCGGACGGGCACAUCAAGCUCACAGACUACGGCAUGUGCAAGGAAGGCCUGGGCCCUGGUGACACAACGAGCACUUUCUGCGGAACCCCGAAUUACAUCGCCCCCGAAAUCCUGCGGGGAGAGGAGUACGGGUUCAGCGUGGACUGGUGGGCGCUGGGAGUCCUCAUGUUUGAGAUGAUGGCCGG
Molecule: small RNA, 602 nt
Filed under: Pan troglodytes (chimpanzee)
Lineage: Eukaryota; Metazoa; Chordata; Mammalia; Primates; Hominidae
Description: processed transcript
Source: RNAcentral